RNAcentral lists this ribosomal RNA (429 nucleotides) under Actinomycetes bacterium. RNAcentral's name for it is "Actinobacteria bacterium partial 16S ribosomal RNA". It matches the Rfam family "Bacterial small subunit ribosomal RNA", at positions 355 to 776 of the family's 1533-position model. The record is from RNAcentral. Lineage: Bacteria; Bacillati; Actinomycetota; Actinomycetes.
UAGGGAAUCUUCCGCAAUGGGCGAAAGCCUGACGGAGCAACGCCGCGUGAGUGAUGAAGGUCUUCGGAUCGUAAAACUCUGUUAUUAGGGAAGAACAAAUGUGUAAGUAACUAUGCACGUCUUGACGGUACCUAAUCAGAAAGCCACGGCUAACUACGUGCCAGCAGCCGCGGUAAUACGUAGGUGGCAAGCGUUAUCCGGAAUUAUUGGGCGUAAAGCGCGCGUAGGCGGUUUUUUAAGUCUGAUGUGAAAGCCCACGGCUCAACCGUGGAGGGUCAUUGGAAACUGGAAAACUUGAGUGCAGAAGAGGAAAGUGGAAUUCCAUGUGUAGCGGUGAAAUGCGCAGAGAUAUGGAGGAACACCAGUGGCGAAGGCGACCUUCUGGUCUGUAACUGACGCUGAUGUGCGAAAGCGUGGGGAUCAAACAGG